GCUGUUAUAGCUCAGUGGUAGAGCACUUCCUUGGUAAGGAAGAGGUCCCGAGUUCAAGUCUCGGUAACAGCU
This 72-nucleotide transfer RNA is filed under the name Megasphaera elsdenii. RNAcentral describes it as "tRNA-Thr". It matches the Rfam family "tRNA". From Rfam's summary of the family: Transfer RNA (tRNA) molecules are approximately 80 nucleotides in length. Their secondary structure includes four short double-helical elements and three loops (D, anti-codon, and T loops). Further hydrogen bonds mediate the characteristic L-shaped molecular structure. tRNAs have two regions of fundamental functional importance: the anti-codon, which is responsible for specific mRNA codon recognition, and the 3' end, to which the tRNAs corresponding amino acid is attached (by aminoacyl-tRNA synthetases). tRNAs cope with the degeneracy of the genetic code in two manners: having more than one tRNA (with a specific anti-codon) for a particular amino acid; and 'wobble' base-pairing, i.e. permitting non-standard base-pairing at the 3rd anti-codon position. The record is from RNAcentral. RNAcentral also lists the same sequence under 14 other names. Lineage: Bacteria; Bacillati; Bacillota; Negativicutes; Veillonellales; Veillonellaceae.